CGGAGGAAAAGAAACUAACAAGGAUUCCCCUAGUAGCGGCGAGCGAAGCGGGAAGAGCCCAAGAUGAAAAGCCUGCUUGCAGGCGUUGUAUUUGGGCGUCCUUGGGGUGUCAGUGCGGGUAAGUUGUAUGGAAAUACACGCCGUGGAGGGUGAGAGCCCCGUCCAACCCGCACAGGACACGCCGUACAAGGGCGUCUCAGACGAGUCGGGUAGCUUGGGAAUGCUGCUCUAAUUGGUGGUAAAUCUCAUCAAAGGCUAAAUAGCGGCCGGAGACCGAUAGCGAACAAGUACCGUGAGGGAAAGAUGACAAGCACUUUGAAAAGAGGGUGAAAAGAGCCUGAAACCGUCAUGGGGGAAGCGGAUUGCGUUGGAUUGGUGGGUUGCUGUGUGUUCAGCCUUUUGGUGCAUUGGCACAGCAACUUAUCUGCCGUGGGUUCCGGGUGGUUGAUUUUGGACCGCCUGGGGCUGAGGGCUCCCUUUUAUAGGUGAGGACGGUAGAGCAACGACGCGAUACGACCCGUCUUGAAACACGGACCAAGGAGUCUAGCGCGGGUGCGAGUCAGAGGGUGCAAGCCCGUGGGCGAAGUGAAAGCGAGUGUAAAAACGAGCAGUUUGGGGCGGCAUUAGAUUGUUAAUCUAAGGUCCGACCUUGAGCAGUUGCGCUGGGACCCGAAAGAUGGUGAACUAUGCCGGAGUAGGGCAAAGCCAGAGGAAACUCUGGUGGAGGCUCGUAGCGGUGCUGACGUGCAAAUCGCUCGUCCAACUUGGGUAUAGGGGCGAAAGACUAAUCGAACCAUCUAGUAGCUGGUUCCCUCCGAAGUUUCUCUCAGGAUAGCGGGCCGACAUGUGUUGUUUUGUGCGGUAAAGCGAAUGAUUAGCGCACUCGGGGGCAGUUAGCCUUCGGGCGAUUCUCAAACUUUCAAUGCGCAAGGGUGCCGCUGCUUUGUUGAGCGGCACCGGCAAAAACGUCGGCCCUGUGGGCCACUUUUGGUAAGCAGAACUGGCGAUACGGGAUGAACCGUAAGCGCGGUUAAGGCGCCUAACUGCCCGCUUAUAGACCCCACAAAAGGUGUUGAUUCAUCGAGACAGCAGGACGGUGGCCAUGGAAGUCGGAAUCCGCUAAGGAGUGUGUAACAACUCACCUGCCGAAUGAAUUAGCCCUGAAAAUGGAUGGCGCUGAAGCGGGCGGCCGACACCGCGCCGUCUGGUAAAGAAUUAUGAUCAGAUGAGUAGGAGGGCGUGGUGGCCGUGCCGAAGCGUGCGUGCAGACGCGCGUGGAACGGCCACUAGUGCAGAUCUUGGUGGUAGUAGCAAGUAUUCAAGCGAGAUCCUUGAAGGGCGAAGCGGGGAAGGGUUCCACGCGAACAUUGAUUGGGCGUGGGUGAGUCGUUCCUAAGCCGAGUGGCGAUUGCUAAGUAGCGGCGAAAGGGAAGCGGGUUGACAUUCCCGCACACGGAUGUGGAGGCGGUGACGCGUAUUGGGGCGAACACGCUGGCGACGGCGCUGGGCAGAGUUGUCUUUUCUGUUUGACCUGUUUGCGCGCGGUGUGGAAUCCGCUUGUCGGGAGAAACACGCGUGUUGGGGCAGAGCGCCGGGGCUUUUCCGGCGUCCAGCUCGCCGUCGACGGCCCUUGAAACUUUGCCUGCUGAUUUAAAUCCACGCCGUGGCGUACCGAUCACCGCAUCAGGUCCCCAAGGUGAACAGCCUCUGCUCAAUAUGAACAAUGCAGGUAAGGGAAGUCGGCAAAUUAGACCCGUAACUUUGGGAUAAGGGUUGGCUCUAGUGCUGCGUGGGAGUGGUUGCCUAGUGUCGGGGUUUUCGGUGAGGCUGGCUUGGCGCGGAUCCCUCGGGAACUGUUCCGGCUGCUGAACUGAUGAUUCCGCGCUGGGCGACGCCCACAGCAUGCAGCAGACUAGAACUGCAACGGGCAAAGGGAAUCCGACUGUUUAAUUAAAACAAAGCAUUGCGAGGGCCGUGGCCGGUGAUGACGCAAU
RNAcentral lists this ribosomal RNA (1994 nucleotides) under Polycoelia fastigiata. Its description in RNAcentral is "eukaryotic LSU rRNA". It matches the Rfam family "Eukaryotic large subunit ribosomal RNA", at positions 51 to 2190 of the family's 3401-position model. The record is from RNAcentral. Lineage: Eukaryota; Rhodophyta; Florideophyceae; Gigartinales; Kallymeniaceae.